Molecule: long non-coding RNA, 589 nt
Filed under: Mytilus galloprovincialis (Mediterranean mussel)
Lineage: Eukaryota; Metazoa; Mollusca; Bivalvia; Mytilida; Mytilidae
Source: RNAcentral
UGAAAAUGAGGUCACGGUCAAAUAAAACCUGCGCGACUGACAUAAAGAUCAUAAAAUAUUUUCAUACACCAAAUAUAGUUGACCUAUGGCAUAUAGAAUUAGAUAAAAAGACCAAAACUCAAAAACUUAACUUUGACCACUGAACCAUGAAAAUGAGGUCAAGGUCACAUGACAUCUGCCCGCUAGACAUGUACACCUUACAAUCAUUCCAUACAACAAAUAUAGUAGACCUAUUGCAUAUAGUAUGAGAAAAACAGACCAAAACACAAAAAUUUAACUAUAACCACUGAACCAUGAAAACGAGGUCAAGGUCAAAUGACACCUGCCAGUUGGACAUGUACACCUUACAGUCCUUCCAUACACCGAAUAUACUAGCCCUAUUGCUUAUAGUAUCUGAGAUAUGGACUUGACCACCAAAACUUUACCUUGUUCACUGAUUCAUGAAAUUAGGUCGAGGUCAAGUGAAAACUGUCUGACAGACAUGAGGACCUUGCAAGGUACGCACAUAUCAAAUAUAGUUAUCAUAUUACUUAUAAUAAGAGAGAAUUCAACAUUACAAAAAAUCUGAACUUUUUUUUCAAGUGGUCAC